UGGCUCAAAGGAGGAGGGCACUGGCCCCAUAUGCCAGAGGUGGCAGGUUCAAGCCCUGC
Molecule: transfer RNA, 59 nt
Filed under: Otolemur garnettii (small-eared galago)
Lineage: Eukaryota; Metazoa; Chordata; Mammalia; Primates; Galagidae
Source: Rfam by way of RNAcentral